UUGGAGGGCAAGUCUGGUGCCAGCAGCCGCGGUAAUUCCAGCUCCAAUAGCGUAUAUUAAAGUUGCUGCAGUUAAAAAGCUCGUAGUUGAAUUUCGGGACCAUCAUGUCGGUCGUGCCUCGGUACGUACUGGUAUUGUUGGUUUCUCCCUUCUGACGAACCAUGAUGUCAUUUAUUUGGUGUUGUGGGGAAUCAGGACUGUUACUUUGAAAAAAUUAGAGUGUUUAAAGCAGGCUCACGCUUGAAUACAUUAGCAUGGAAUAAUGACAUAGGACGUUUGAUUCUAUUUUGUUGGUUUCUAGGAUCGACGUAAUGAUUAAUAGGGAUAGUUGGGGGCAUUAGUAUUCAAUUGUCAGAGGUGAAAUUCUUGGAUUUAUUGAAGACUAACUACUGCGAAAGCAUUUGCCAAGGAUGUUUUCAUUAAUCAAGAACGAAAGUUAGGGGAUCGAAGACGACCAGAUACCGUCGUAGUCUUAACCAUAAACUAUGCCGACUAGGGAUCGGAUGAUGUUAAUUUUUUAAUGACUCAUUCGGCGCCUUACGGGAAAC
This 548-nucleotide ribosomal RNA is filed under the name uncultured Glomeraceae. RNAcentral describes it as "SSU rRNA". It matches the Rfam family "Eukaryotic small subunit ribosomal RNA", at positions 548 to 1098 of the family's 1831-position model. Lineage: Eukaryota; Fungi; Glomeromycota; Glomeromycetes; Glomerales; Glomeraceae. The record is from RNAcentral.